Molecule: ribosomal RNA, 253 nt
Filed under: uncultured bacterium
Lineage: Bacteria
Description: partial 16S ribosomal RNA
Rfam family: Bacterial small subunit ribosomal RNA
Source: RNAcentral
UACGUAGGGCGCAAGCGUUAUCCGGAAUUAUCGGGCGUAAAGAGCUCGUAGGCGGUUUGUCGCGUCUGCCGUGAAAGUCCGGGGCUCAACUCCGGAUCUGCGGUGGGUACGGGCAGACUAGAGUGAUGUAGGGGAGACUGGAAUUCCUGGUGUAGCGGUGAAAUGCGCAGAUAUCAGGAGGAACACCGAUGGCGAAGGCAGGUCUCUGGGCAUUAACUGACGCUGAGGAGCGAAAGCAUGGGGAGCGAACAGG